UCGGCUUCCCACGAGGGAUUCUCACGCAUGACUACCUCCGUACAUCCCAGGUGCACCUCCGUACAUCCACGUUGACAGAACCUGCGAGAAAGAAAAAUAAACAGCAAUGGAAUGCACGAGAAAGGCUAACAGUGUAACAACCCGAAUCCCCGCCACCGGAAUAGAGUUACAGAGCAUUACUGGAGUUACCGAUUUAUUUAUCAUAUAUUCAUUUCAUCUAACAUUCAUAUUUGGAACCAAUUAAAAUCAAACAUAUUGUCCCUUAACAUACUUAUUUUUCUCGAUAUGUUGUACUUGAAUUUAUUACUCGUCUCAAUUUAAUUAAUUUCCUUGUAUCAACGUAUCAAAGAUAAUCACCUACAUGUCAUGAUAAAUAUUAUUCUUUUGCCAUUUCUUCUUCGUAAACAUAAUCAGGUAAUUCAUUAUAUCGAUAUUUCAUCAUGCAUUUAAAAAUACAAUUCAAGUUACACUAAUUUACCUCGUUACUUGUUCAUGUUUAAAUUUCAUUAAUUCGAUAUCUUUUCUUUUCUACGUUCAAGUCUCGUAUUCGAGUCAUCCGGAUCUUUACAAAGAAAUUUGAUCGUCGUUUUCAUUUUUCAUGUUCUAAUACAUUCAAUUGAUACUCUAAACAAAAUUACCAUUUUACCUCUAAACUUUUUAAUUAAUGACGAUUUCAUCCUUAGGCUAAAAAAUAAAAUUCUUGCAAUUUAAUCCUUAUUUCCAGCUGUUAUUCUCAAACAAAUUGAUAACAACCCAUGAAUUCUAUAAAAUAUCAAAAUUUCAUAAUUUCAACAAUUUUCAAUUUAAUCCUUAAACAUGUUUUCCCCGAUCUUGAGCUAAAUUAAUAAUUCAUUCAAUUUUGUAAUUUUAAAUGAUAAAAUAAUUCAUUUCAUGCAAAUUGGUCAUUUCUAACAUUUUUACAAAAUUACCCAUAAAGUUUUAAUUUUAUUCAAUUUAGUCCCUGAGCCUAAAACAUGCAAAUUAGCCAUGCUAGAUGAGUAUUCAUACAUAUUUUCCUCCUCCUCCUCUCUGUUCCACAUCCUUAAUUUAUAUAAUAUGCUACAAAACAAUAUCAAUAAUUUCACUAUUUACUUAUAUGUAUAUUCAAAACUGUCCAUUUGCGUCAUAGUCACUAAAUUAUUUAUAUCUUGAGCUAUAGAACUCGAAAUUAAGAUCCGCUAAUUUUACAUGAAACUAGACUUAUGUAUUUUCUUACCAUAAAAUUUUCAGAAUUUUGGUUUACCCAAUAAGUACAGUUUAUUCUUUAAAAUCACCCUUAUUCUGUUGUCUAACAAUUCCAACCCUUCUUAACUAAAAAUUAAUUAUCUCAUUGUACAGAAUUCAAAUGAUGUUCCCGUUUAUUUCUGAAAAUAGACUCAUUCAGAAUUCUAAUCAUAUGAUUUAAGCCCUAAUUAUUUUUCUCCAAUUUUUGAUUAUUUUAUUUUACAAAGUCAGAACAGAGGAACCCGAAAUCAUUCUAACCUUAUCUCACAAAAUUUACUAUAUCUCACAAUUUACAAUUUCAUUUCUUACACCGUUUCUUUUAUAAGAAACUAGACUCAAUAAGCUUUAAUUAAUUUUUUAUUUAACCUCUAAUUCAAUUCCUUUUUUGGUGAUUUUUCAAAUUUAGACUAUUAUUGCUGUCUAAAACUGUUUUAGUGCAAGGUAUUAUUUAUCAUGUUUAUAACACCCUUAUUUUCUUUCUCUACACUAUUUUUCAUUAUUUCUCUUAUUUUCUCUUCACUAACAUGACAAGAACAUAAGACCAUAUAUAAGAAAACUCUAAAUCAACAUCAAUUCCAUGCUUUUUCAACAAUAUUAAACUUAAAAAUAUAUUGAAAUCUUGAUGUUCUUACCUUUUCUUAUUGACUUCAAUCUUUAACUUGAUUUUUCUCUCUCCUCCAGCUUCUAUUUCUUGAAUCCAACUUGAUAUUCUUGCUCCCCAUCAUCUCCUUGCUAUCUUUCUCUCUUGAUGGCUAUGGAAAUUCUUUCAAUUUUUAGGUGAAAACAAUGAGUUUUUGGUGGAAGGACUAAAUUGUAAAGAAAUAAAACUUAUUUUCUUCUUCCUCUCUCACGUUGGUUUGCAUGGGAAAGAAAAUGAUGAUUCUUCAUCUUUCUUUCCUUAUAUAUAUAACUAAAUAAAAAAUAAAUAAUAAAAUAUUAUUUAAAAACAAUUUAAAGUAUUAAUAAACUAAUAUUUUUAUUUAAUUUAUCUAAAAUAUCUCCAACAUCAUCACUGUCUAGAUUCUCUCUCUUCCAAUUGACCAUUUUGCCCUUAGUGAUAUUUUAAAAUUCCAUUCUUGAGUCAUCACUUAAUUUGGUAAAAUUGCAAUUUAGUCCCUCAUAAUUCUUCACCUAUUCAAUUUGGUCCUAAUUCAUCAAUUUUCCUUGGUUUCUAGAUCAUUCCACCCUUAAAAAUUUUGCACUAUUAGUCCUUCUAAUUUUCAUAUUUACACUUUAAUCCCUCAAAUUUUGAGUAUUUACUCUUGGGCCCUAAAACUUUUUCUCACUUUUACAAUUUAGUCCUUUCUUGAAUCAAUAUGUCAUAAUAUACUUCCCAGUGACACAACUCAAUUUUUCCUCUUGUCACUUUAUUUCCUUAUUUUACUAUAUUAAGGAUAAUAUCUUACUGUAGAAAUUUUCAGGGUGUUACAAACAGAAUUUACAGUGAUUAAAUGUAAUUUUAUUUUUUAUUUACUCUGUAAAUCCGGCUAUAAAAAGCCAUCGAAUGUACCUACGCAUCUUAUGCACACCAGAUAUUAAAAAUCAAGCCAAAAGUUUGAAAGGUGAUUUCCAAAUCUAUUUUUUUAUUUCCUUUGAUUGGUUUGCAAAUUUAGCACGAACACAUGAAGGGGAACCCAAAUCGACGUCGAUGAAAGCUCAAACAUCUUAGAUAUGCAUAGAUGUGGGCGAGGGUCGAGCGGUGUUAAAGUUUUGUUUAAAUCUUCAAAAUUUAUUUUCGUUUUUUGAAAGAAUAGCAUAAGAUUCACGUUUUUUUUUUUAAAAAAAAAAGAGAAAAAGGGAGUGAGGUUACCAGAUUUCCAGGGUUGUGGCCUCCGUUGGCAUGAUCUGGCCAUUAUCAGCACCAUUGGCCAUCAAAUUGAUGGAGGUUAGUGGCUGCGCGAUGAAAUAACCCUCACAGAGCAAGGGUUCUGUCUUUC
Molecule: long non-coding RNA, 3161 nt
Filed under: Gossypium barbadense (sea-island cotton)
Lineage: Eukaryota; Viridiplantae; Streptophyta; Magnoliopsida; Malvales; Malvaceae
Description: long non-coding RNA (GBAR_LNC023576)
Source: RNAcentral